Molecule: ribosomal RNA, 254 nt
Filed under: uncultured prokaryote
Description: partial 16S ribosomal RNA
Rfam family: Bacterial small subunit ribosomal RNA
Source: RNAcentral
ACGUAGGGGGCAAGCGUUGUCCGGAAUCAUUGGGCGUAAAGAGCUCGUAGGCGGUUCAGUAAGUCGGGUGUGAAAGCUCCGAGCUCAACUCGGAGAGGCCACUCGAUACUGCUGUGACUAGAAUCCAGUAGGGGAGUGUGGAAUUCCUGGUGUAGCGGUGAAAUGCGCAGAUAUCAGGAGGAACACCAGCGGCGAAGGCGGCACUCUGGGCUGGUAUUGACGCUGAGGAGCGAAAGUGUGGGUAGCAAACAGGA